CACACCCACAGCCAGCAAUUCAGGCUCCCGGUUCUCAAAGUCUGUUACAACAGGAAAAUGUGCCCUGCAGGACACACCCAUCCUAGACGGUUUCCACAGAUAAACCCUCCACGGUCCCUCUUCGGCGAGGGACCAGUGUAUACCAGCCUAUGAAACGUAUACCAUUUUAUAAGGCAGGGAACAGACAGCCGUGGGACAUCCAGCCGCCGAUGCCCAGCUGGGAGCGAAAUGCACAAACCGGAAGGCGAGGCACGGGGAACGGCAGGGGACCUCCAUCUCCAAACAGAAAAAGCUGCAGACGGGUGCUCAGAUGCACGAGCUGCUCCCGGUUACGGGACACACAAGGCAACACGAACCAAGCGCUCAGGAACCUGGGGCUGGGGAAGCUGCUGGAACAUCGUUCAGAGAGGGGACGCGAACCCUCCCCAGCUCACCCCCACACCGGAGCACCCCUAGUGCCAGACCCUCCCUGCCUGGGGGCAGCCCCCCACCGAGGUGCCCGCGGCCUCAGGCAGCCCCCCACUUCGCAGCUGCGGGACUCUGGGCAAUGACUGGACCUCCUGGAGGAGGCAUCGCCGUCCGCCAACCGGGGCCGGACGCGGGAAGGGAGGAGACGGCGCAGGGCCGGCGCCCAAGCUGGGGCUCCGCGGCGUCGCCCACCCCGUCCUGGCACCGGCGGGGGCGGCUCAAGACGCACGACGCUCUGACCAGGACACGAACGCAGGAGUGAGCGGAAACUUGGCGGACGCGGGGAGGUGUGGUCACUGAGUGUCCAGCAUCCGUGUUCUGGGACCCUAGUGGCGGACCCGCAAAACCUGGGAACCUGCCUCCUCAAAGUACACGGAGGACAUCUGGGCGCCUCAGGCAUGAAGCGUCUGACUUCGGCUCAAGUCAUGGUCUCAGGGUCCGAGAGUCUGAGCCUGCUUCUCUC
This is a long non-coding RNA of Suricata suricatta (meerkat), 931 nucleotides long. RefSeq lists it as uncharacterized. The transcript is spliced from 3 exons. The record is from RefSeq and is a predicted model, not a curated record. Lineage: Eukaryota; Metazoa; Chordata; Mammalia; Carnivora; Herpestidae.